UUGGCUCAAGCGGCAAUCGAGCAGGAUGGAUAUCCUAGCGCCUCUAUAUUAGCACCCACAAGGAAAGUAAACAUAGGCGCAUAUUGUGUUCAACAUGAUGAUACAAGCGAGAGUUGGCCUACGCCGCCAACUGAUCUGCGGCAGCGUGGAAGGAGUGUUCAAAAGCAGCAUGAGCAGUUGUUCUACUGCUGGUCGGAGGGAGAGCUUGGCAAGGGAGAUAGAGGGAGCUCUACAACCACGAUCUUGGCAUACAACCCGAUGGCAUCGCUAUAUAUUAUUCAGCAAGUACGUUUGCAAAAAAAUUGA
RNAcentral lists this ribosomal RNA (306 nucleotides) under Triticum aestivum (bread wheat). RNAcentral's name for it is "partial small subunit ribosomal RNA". Lineage: Eukaryota; Viridiplantae; Streptophyta; Magnoliopsida; Poales; Poaceae. The record is from RNAcentral.